Long non-coding RNA from Brassica napus (rape), 455 nucleotides. RefSeq lists it as uncharacterized. NCBI's taxonomy places the organism in Eukaryota, Viridiplantae, Streptophyta, Magnoliopsida, Brassicales, Brassicaceae. The record is from RefSeq and is a predicted model, not a curated record. The transcript is spliced from 3 exons.
CAUGUACCACAAGUUUGAAUCCUAUUAUUGCACUUUCCUUCAGAUAUGAUUCUGGGUUUAUAAGCUUUUAAUCGUUGAUUUUCAAAGAAUCUGUGGAAAUUACGUUUUUGUAUAACACAAUUUUGAAUUUUGGGCCAUUCCUUACCCUUCCAUACGUUGAUCUUGAUUUUUAUUUUAUUUUUAUGACUAUUACUUGCUACCAGAAUUUUGGAAGAGUUCCACGGAUAUAAUGAAAGAACUAAGGCCAAUCAAAGAAUCUGGCUCAGCCGAAGAUUUUGAGAAAGAGGCGCUGAUUCAGCGGUUUCGAGGCUGCUCAAGCUCAGGAAAAAAUUAUAACAAUGAAAGUAAGAUCGUACGGAGAUUUAGAACCUCCUCUGCAGCUGAAGAAAUCAUAAGCCGGUUCACUUUUUACACACAGCUCCUCAACAAUGGGAACUUUGUAGACGCUGCUUCUG